AUUCACUUUCCAGGAUGCCCAGCAUGGCUCGGUUGGUUAAGCAUCUGCCUUCGGCUCGGGACUCUACCAGAGCUUCGGGCCCCAUUUGCAUCCAGCUGCCCAUGGGUAUCAGUAGCUGUUGGACUUAGCAGAGUCACACAUCUCAGUUUGGACCAGUUCAUUUCUAGUGCUCAAGAGCACACGUGACUAACAUUAAACAGUACAUAUCUAGGACUCCAGAACGGGACGUGACUAGAGUUACUCUUACCUCAUCUGAAAUUUCUGAGCAUGACAGAGCACAGGGAAACAGGAGAGAGAAUUUCCUCAUCUAGGACAGGUGCUAAAGAAGAUGUUCCUGCCCAAGAAACACACACUUCUGUUAUGAAAUAACAGCAAAGAUGCUUUUUUAUUUCUCAGUAGUAUCACAUCAGUUUUACCCUGAGAACCACCAGUCAAUAACUCUCUACUUUGUUUUCAUUUUAUAUGCAGAAAGACUGAAAUUCCUAUGGCUUAUAGACUUCUAGCAAGCUAAAGAAGACAAUUACUGGUCCAAUAUCUUACCCAUUAGAAAUGUCUCCAAAAUGCCUGACAGAAUCCCAAUAUUUUAAAACCAUUUGCCUUAAAACUUCUUCACAGUAGUGUCCAUUUCUGACCCAUCUUUAUGUCUUCACUGUAGAAGGUGGAGAGUCUAACCACGGUCUUAUAGUACAGGAAACCAGUAGCUUUGUCAUACAAUCACAGAGCUAAGACAAUAUCGCAGAGAUAACAUGCUGAGGAAAUGGUGAGAAAAAGUUACUAUUGUAUUUGUAACUUCCAAGGUUAAAGAAGUUGCUCAAACCAUUCUUUCAGUAACCUAUUGAGUUUUGUCUUCAGUU
Mustela erminea (ermine) is the source of this 854-nucleotide long non-coding RNA. RefSeq lists it as uncharacterized. The record is from RefSeq and is a predicted model, not a curated record. Lineage: Eukaryota; Metazoa; Chordata; Mammalia; Carnivora; Mustelidae. The transcript is spliced from 5 exons.